RNAcentral lists this ribosomal RNA (255 nucleotides) under uncultured bacterium. Its description in RNAcentral is "partial 16S ribosomal RNA". It matches the Rfam family "Bacterial small subunit ribosomal RNA", at positions 524 to 776 of the family's 1533-position model. The record is from RNAcentral.
UACGGAGGGGGCUAGCGUUGUUCGGAAUUACUGGGCGUAAAGCGCGCGUAGGCGGUUCGGCAAGUCGGAUGUGAAAUCUUCACGCUCAACGUGGAGGGGGCCAUUCGAAACUGCCGUGACUCGAGUCCGGUAGGGGAGUGUGGAAUUCCCGGUGUAGCGGUGAAAUGCGCAGAUAUCGGGAGGAACACCAAUGGCGAAGGCAGCUCGCUGGGACGUGACUGACGCUGAGACGCGAAAGCGUGGGGAGCAAACAGG